AGGUCAAAUGGAUUCACUCCGACGGUCUUGAAAACCGUUGGAGCGGGACAACCCCGUUCUCGUGGGUUCGAAUCCCACGCCCU
Molecule: transfer RNA, 83 nt
Filed under: Cellulomonas fengjieae
Lineage: Bacteria; Bacillati; Actinomycetota; Actinomycetes; Micrococcales; Cellulomonadaceae
Description: tRNA-Ser
Source: RNAcentral